GACGUAGGAGGCAAGCGUUAUCCGGAUUUACUGGGCGUAAAGCGCGUGCAGGCGGUUUGGUAAGUUGGAUGUGAAAGCUCCUGGCUCAACUAGGAGAGGUCGUUCAAUACUGCCGGACUAGAGGAUGGUAGAGGAAGGUGGAAUUCCGGGUGUAGUGGUGAAAUGCGUAGAUAUCCGGAGGAACACCAGUGGCGAAAGCGGCCUUCUGGACCAUUUCUGACGCUCAGACGCGAAAGCUAGGGUAGCAAACGGG
RNAcentral lists this ribosomal RNA (253 nucleotides) under uncultured bacterium. RNAcentral describes it as "partial 16S ribosomal RNA". It matches the Rfam family "Bacterial small subunit ribosomal RNA", at positions 524 to 776 of the family's 1533-position model. The record is from RNAcentral.